UGGGGAAUAUUGCACAAUGGGGGAAACCCUGAUGCAGCGACGCCGCGUGAGUGAAGAAGUAUUUCGGUAUGUAAAGCUCUAUCAGCAGGGAAGAAAAUGACGGUACCUGACUAAGAAGCCCCGGCUAACUACGUGCCAGCAGCCGCGGUAAUACGUAGGGGGCAAGCGUUAUCCGGAUUUACUGGGUGUAAAGGGAGCGUAGACGGCAAGGCAAGUCUGAAGUGAAAGCCCGGGGCUUAACCGUGGGACUGCUUUGGAAACUGUCUGGCUGGAGUGCCGGAGAGGUAAGCGGAAUUCCUAGUGUAGCGGUGAAAUGCGUAGAUAUUAGGAGGAACACCAGUGGCGAAGGCGGCUUACUGGACGGUAACUGACGUUGAGGCUCGAAAGCGUGGGGAGCAAACA
RNAcentral lists this ribosomal RNA (402 nucleotides) under uncultured bacterium. RNAcentral's name for it is "bacterial SSU rRNA". It matches the Rfam family "Bacterial small subunit ribosomal RNA", at positions 355 to 774 of the family's 1533-position model. The record is from RNAcentral.